This 631-nucleotide ribosomal RNA is filed under the name Vibrio sp. RNAcentral describes it as "bacterial SSU rRNA". It matches the Rfam family "Bacterial small subunit ribosomal RNA", at positions 383 to 1006 of the family's 1533-position model. Lineage: Bacteria; Pseudomonadati; Pseudomonadota; Gammaproteobacteria; Vibrionales; Vibrionaceae. The record is from RNAcentral.
CUGAUGCAGCCAUGCCGCGUGUGUGAAGAAGGCCUUCGGGUUGUAAAGCACUUUCAGCAGUGAGGAAGAUGGUAAGCUUAAUACGCUUAUCAUUUGACGUUAGCUGCAGAAGAAGCACCGGCUAACUCCGUGCCAGCAGCCGCGGUAAUACGGAGGGUGCGAGCGUUAAUCGGAAUUACUGGGCGUAAAGCGCAUGCAGGUGGUGAGUUAAGUCAGAUGUGAAAGCCCGGGGCUCAACCUCGGAAUUGCAUUUGAAACUGGCUCACUAGAGUACUGUAGAGGGGGGGUAGAAUUUCAGGUGUAGCGGUGAAAUGCGUAGAGAUCUGAAGGAAUACCAGUGGCGAAGGCGGCCCCCUGGACAGAUACUGACACUCAGAUGCGAAAGCGUGGGGAGCAAACAGGAUUAGAUACCCUGGUAGUCCACGCCGUAAACGAUGUCUACUUGGAGGUUGUGGCCUUGAGCCGUGGCUUUCGGAGCUAACGCGUUAAGUAGACCGCCUGGGGAGUACGGUCGCAAGAUUAAAACUCAAAUGAAUUGACGGGGGCCCGCACAAGCGGUGGAGCAUGUGGUUUAAUUCGAUGCAACGCGAAGAACCUUACCUACUCUUGACAUCCAGAGAACUAGCAGAGA